UGGAGCAUGACAGGGUUAUUAUGACUAUUAUUUAUUAGAAGUAUUACGGGCUUUCUUUUUCUGUUUUUAGGUGAGAGCUGCUAGUGAUGUGCUGAAUAAGGAGGGACUCGGCUCCUUCUCGCAGGUGAGCAGCUGGAAGGGCAGUGACAGGCUGUACCCACGCACUCACAGCACUGCUGGCACAAAGGUCCCAAGUGCUGCUCCCCGGCUCCCAUUUAAAUAAUUGGAAAAAUAAUGCUCCAAAAUAACAGAGCGAGUGGUCCUCCCCAUUGUGAGCUCAAUAUUGGGCCACGCUACUGCAUGAUCGGGACAAAGAGACGAUGAUACAGGCUGGUUUCUAUGGCAACAGAGGAGGGGUAGCUAAAACAGAAAUGUUGCAAACACGGGCGCUGCUCACCGCACCGCUGCGCAGGGUACCGCCGCCUGCAAAACGUCCGGAUGCCUCCACCUUUCGGCUUGCGGAGUUCUGACAUGCACAGACAUGGCAAUUUGUUCUCCGUUUAGCUGCAAAGAGAAAGGGAACACCAUACACGGCCCCCCGUUUUCUGUGUGUAAAAUGUAUGCGUUCUUUAAAAGGCAGUGGUUGGCUGGUUUUCCGGACAUGAUGUGGUUGAAGCUGUCAUCGUAAUGGAAAUUCAUUGCUGUAGCUAUGGUAAAUCGAGUUUUCUGCCUGUGCUGAAUGCAUUAGUCUAAUGAGAUGUUUGCAGCUGGAGAGCGGAGCUGCUGGAGGCUCGCGUGGUGCUAGGAGGCAGGAGAAGAUGGCUUGUGCUGGGCUCUGUGAGCAUGUGCUGAAAGUCCUGUGCCCAGCGGCUCCAGACGCCCGGGCACUCUAAAGGCACUGCCCAGGCUUCUAACAGAGGCGAUAGGUGCUUCCAGGACAAACUUGGGAAGGACCCUGCGCCUGGAGGAGAUGCACACACGACCUGUCAGUCCUGUCAGCUGCUGUCCAGUCCACAGCCCGUGCCUCGUCUGCCACUGGUGAAGGCCAGCACAGCUCCUGGGAUGAGCCAUUCUCCGCCCCUGCCCACCCUCCAGGACCCCGCAGCCAUGCCAUCCCCCCGCAUCGCAGGGAGGAAGCGAGGCCGGCCCCCGUUGCAGCCUGCACCCAUCAAGGUGACCGUCCAAAGCCUAUUCUCUGCACCCAGUGGGGCUCUGCCAGUCGUAAAGAUCCCAAAGAAGAGAGGGAGGAAGC
Meleagris gallopavo (turkey) is the source of this 1192-nucleotide non-coding RNA. Lineage: Eukaryota; Metazoa; Chordata; Aves; Galliformes; Phasianidae. The record is from RefSeq and is a predicted model, not a curated record.